This 95-nucleotide signal recognition particle RNA is filed under the name Acidobacteriota bacterium. Its description in RNAcentral is "Acidobacteria bacterium signal recognition particle sRNA small type". It matches the Rfam family "Bacterial small signal recognition particle RNA". From Rfam's summary of the family: The signal recognition particle (SRP) is a universally conserved ribonucleoprotein involved in the co-translational targeting of proteins to membranes. Lineage: Bacteria; Pseudomonadati; Acidobacteriota. The record is from RNAcentral.
CUUCGGGCUUUGUGCAACGAUUCCCCGUGAACCCCGCCAGGCCCGGAAGGGAGCAACGGUAACGGCUCGAAUUCUGGCCAAAGCGCUCAAUUGCG